GCGUGAAGCUGGAAUCGCUAGUAAUCGCGGAUCAGCAUGCCGCGGUGAAUACGUUCCCGGGCCUUGUACACACCGCCCGUCACACCACGAGAGUUUGUAACACCCGAAGUCGGUGAGGUAACCUUUUUGGAGCCAGCCGCCGAAGGUGGGACAGAUGAUUGGGGUGAAGUCGUAACAAGGUAGCCGUAUCGGAAGGUGCGGCUGGAUCACCUCCUUU
RNAcentral lists this ribosomal RNA (217 nucleotides) under Bacillus sp. B38. Its description in RNAcentral is "partial 16S ribosomal RNA". It matches the Rfam family "Bacterial small subunit ribosomal RNA", at positions 1318 to 1533 of the family's 1533-position model. Lineage: Bacteria; Bacillati; Bacillota; Bacilli; Caryophanales; Bacillaceae. The record is from RNAcentral. RNAcentral also lists the same sequence under 4 other names.